This 497-nucleotide ribosomal RNA is filed under the name uncultured bacterium. RNAcentral describes it as "partial 16S ribosomal RNA". It matches the Rfam family "Bacterial small subunit ribosomal RNA", at positions 28 to 507 of the family's 1533-position model. The record is from RNAcentral.
GAUGAACGCUGGCGGCGUGCCUAAUACAUGCAAGUCGAGCGAACAGACGAGGAGCUUGCUCCUUUGACGUUAGCGGCGGACGGGUGAGUAACACGUAGGUAACCUACCUAUAAGACUGGGAUAACUUCGGGAAACCGGAGCUAAUACCGGAUAAUAUUUCGAACCGCAUGGUUCGAUAGUGAAAGAUGGCUUUGCUAUCACUUAUAGAUGGACCUGCGCCGUAUUAGCUAGUUGGUAAGGUAACGGCUUACCAAGGCUACGAUACGUAGCCGACCUGAGAGGGUGAUCGGCCACACUGGAACUGAGACACGGUCCAGACUCCUACGGGAGGCAGCAGUGGGGAAUCUUCCGCAAUGGGCGAAAGCCUGACGGAGCAACGCCGCGUGAGUGAUGAAGGUCUUCGGAUCGUAAAGCUCUGUUAUUAGGGAAGAACAAACGUGUAAGUAACUGUGCACGUCUUGACGGUACCUAAUCAAAAAGCCACGGCUAACUACGUG